RNAcentral lists this ribosomal RNA (253 nucleotides) under uncultured bacterium. RNAcentral's name for it is "partial 16S ribosomal RNA". It matches the Rfam family "Bacterial small subunit ribosomal RNA", at positions 524 to 776 of the family's 1533-position model. The record is from RNAcentral.
UACGUAGGUGGCAAGCGUUGUCCGGAUUUACUGGGCGUAAAGAGCUCGUAGGCGGUUUGUCGCGUCUGUCGUGAAAGCCCCGGGCUCAACCUGGGAAUGGCCGUUGAAACUGGCGAACUGGAGUGUGGCAGAGGGGGGUGGAAUUCCGCGUGUAGCAGUGAAAUGCGUAGAGAUGCGGAGGAACACCGAUGGCGAAGGCAGCCCCCUGGGCUGACACUGACGCUCAGGCACGAAAGCGUGGGGAGCAAACAGG